GGAUAAUCUUUGAAUAAAUCAUCUUCAAAGUUAAUAUAGAUGUAAGGAUUUACAAUUAUCUUAGUUGAUUUCAGUAAUGUGGCUUGAGGAAUUUAAUUAAAUUAAUUGGACGGCCAACCCUGUGAGAGUUAUGAUGCAAGAUACUUACAAACUUGUCUGGACAAGGGAACUCGAACAACUUGACAGAUCCAAAAUCAUCACCAGUAGCCAAUGCAUUGCCAAGAUGAGACAGAUUUCACUGGGAAUCAUACAAGCAGAACAUCACUACAACAGAUACUUAAGGCCCUUACCUGAUAUCAUUAAUGGGAGCAGAUCUAUCUCGUUUACGUCCCCAGAGCUUGAAGCCUGCUGUGGCCAGCAAGAUGAAU
Molecule: long non-coding RNA, 368 nt
Organism: Pomacea canaliculata
Lineage: Eukaryota; Metazoa; Mollusca; Gastropoda; Architaenioglossa; Ampullariidae
Exons: 3
Source: RefSeq, a predicted model, not a curated record